Long non-coding RNA from Mugil cephalus (flathead mullet), 369 nucleotides. RefSeq lists it as uncharacterized. Lineage: Eukaryota; Metazoa; Chordata; Actinopteri; Mugiliformes; Mugilidae. The transcript is spliced from 3 exons. The record is from RefSeq and is a predicted model, not a curated record.
CCCGUGGAUCAUCUACUAGCUUGCUCUGCUGCGCCAUUCUUCCGUGUGCUUCUGCUGGUUUCACCAAUGAUCGACGCUGUAUUGUAUGGAGAGCUUCACGCAGAAGGAGGACCGACGCAUCCAAAAAACAGCGUCUCUGAUGUAGUUGAGAGGCUUGUAGUCUUUCAUAAGUUCAGAAGAGCAUCCUCAGAAUCAGCAGAGUCAGCAGCCGUACCUCCCAACCGUUAGGCGCCACAAGAGGAAGAUCGACAGCCAUUUAUUGCCACGGACAAGCGUCUGAUCCCCUGCCAGGCCGACCGCUCUCACGGGUCAGUUUUUUAAAGCUCAUUUUGUGUUCAGUGUGUCUUAUGAUGGUGUGCUUGUGAAUUU